Molecule: long non-coding RNA, 610 nt
Organism: Eucalyptus grandis
Lineage: Eukaryota; Viridiplantae; Streptophyta; Magnoliopsida; Myrtales; Myrtaceae
Exons: 2
Source: RefSeq, a predicted model, not a curated record
CAUAGCCACCUAAUGGAAAGCUCAAAGUGCCAAGUCAGAGCUACCAAAUACCUCUCCAAUAUUAAUAAUGAGGAAGGCCUUACUUCUUGUUUGCGUUUGCUUCAUCUCGUUCGCUCUUCUCUUCCUUCCUUCCACUGAAGCUCGAGCACUCCUUCAAAGAGGACCGGAAAAGGUGCCACCGUGCAGUCGAGAGAGAGGGAGAAGAUAUACACCGUGCAUACCGUCACCAACUCCGCCUCCGCGAAAAAGGUGUGAAAUUUAUAGACGUGCUUGCCCUCCGUUAGUUGGCCCUACAGAGCCAUGAGACCAGGGACCUAAAUUAAGCCGCUCAUGAUGGCCAAAUCACUUCAUAGUAUGAAGUAUAUUUCGCAGCACUGUCGUUGCGAACAAAUAAAGAAGUGCAGUGAAGAAGACAAUGAAGCAAUGUAAGAAUCGUUUAGUUUAAGAUAUUGUGUCCUUUAAGGAAAUAAAAGGAAUGGAGACGAAGCCUGUCUCUCAGGCUUCUAUCUUCUUUUCAAAUGCCAAUGUAAUAAGUAAUCAAAAUGUAUGUGCAAUGAGGUGCUUGUGCUGCAAUCAAUUAUUGUUUAAUGAACUCAUUGGAGUAUUUAAA